Molecule: non-coding RNA, 72 nt
Organism: Phrynosoma platyrhinos (Desert horned lizard)
Lineage: Eukaryota; Metazoa; Chordata; Lepidosauria; Squamata; Phrynosomatidae
Source: the annotation of a GenBank genome assembly
ACCAGUGUGGCAUAGUGGUUUGAGUCCUGGAUUGUAUCUCUGGAGACCAAGGUUCAAUUCCUAGCUCAGCUA